RNAcentral lists this ribosomal RNA (465 nucleotides) under Vreelandella stevensii. RNAcentral describes it as "partial 16S ribosomal RNA". It matches the Rfam family "Bacterial small subunit ribosomal RNA", at positions 338 to 795 of the family's 1533-position model. Lineage: Bacteria; Pseudomonadati; Pseudomonadota; Gammaproteobacteria; Oceanospirillales; Halomonadaceae. The record is from RNAcentral.
CCUACGGGAGGCUGCAGUGGGGAAUAUUGGACAAUGGGGGCAACCCUGAACCAGCCAUGCCGCGUGUGUGAAGAAGGCCCUCGGGUUGUAAAGCACUUUCAGUGAGGAAGAACGCCUGGUGGUUAAUACCCAUCAGGAAAGACAUCACUCACAGAAGAAGCACCGGCUAACUCCGUGCCAGCAGCCGCGGUAAUACGGAGGGUGCGAGCGUUAAUCGGAAUUACUGGGCGUAAAGCGCGCGUAGGUGGCUUGAUAAGCCGGUUGUGAAAGCCCCGGGCUCAACCUGGGAACGGCAUCCGGAACUGUCAAGCUAGAGUGCAGGAGAGGAAGGUAGAAUUCCCGGUGUAGCGGUGAAAUGCGUAGAGAUCGGGAGGAAUACCAGUGGCGAAGGCGGCCUUCUGGACUGACACUGACACUGAGGUGCGAAAGCGUGGGUAGCAAACAGGAUUAGAUACCCCUGUAGUC